GAUCAACGCUGGCGGCGUGCCUAAUGCAUGCAAGUCGAGCGGGGUGACCUUCGGGUCACUUACGCGGCGGACGGGUGCGGAACACGUGGGCAACCUGCCCCGAGGUGGGGGAUAGCCGGUGGAAACACCGGGUAAUUCCGCAUACGGUCACAGACCGGAGGGUUUGUGAGGAAAGGGUCUUCGGACUCGCCUUGGGAGGGGCCUGCGGCCGAUUAGCUAGACGGUGGGGUAACGGCCUACCGUGGCGAUGAUCGGUAGCUGGUCUGAGAGGACGGCCAGCCACACGGGGACUGAGACACGGCCCCGACUCCUACGGGAGGCAGCAGCAAGGAAUCUUCCGCAAUGGGCGAAAGCCUGACGGAGCAACGCCGCGUGUGGGAUGACGCCUUUCGGGGUGUAAACCACUUUUCUCAGGGAAGAAAUCUUGACGGUACCUGAGGAAUAAGGACCGGCUAACUACGUGCCAGCCGCCGCAGUAACAC
This 482-nucleotide ribosomal RNA is filed under the name uncultured bacterium. RNAcentral's name for it is "bacterial SSU rRNA". It matches the Rfam family "Bacterial small subunit ribosomal RNA", at positions 28 to 526 of the family's 1533-position model. The record is from RNAcentral.